GGACGACCGCUGGCGGCGUGCUUACCACAUGCAAGUCGAACGGAAAGGCCCUGCUUUUGUGGGGUGCUCGAGUGGCGAACGGGUGAGUAACACGUGAGUAACCUGCCCUUGACUUUGGGAUAACUUCAGGAAACUGGGGCUAAUACCGGAUAGGAGCUCCUGCUGCAUGGUGGGGGUUGGAAAGUUUCGGCGGUUGGGGAUGGACUCGCGGCUUAUCAGCUUGUUGGUGGGGUAGUGGCUUACCAAGGCUUUGACGGGUAGCCGGCCUGAGAGGGUGACCGGCCACAUUGGGACUGAGAUACGGCCCAGACUCCUACGGGAGGCAGCAGUGGGGAAUAUUGCACAAUGGGCGGAAGCCUGAUGCAGCAACGCCGCGUGCGGGAUGACGGCCUUCGGGUUGUAAACCGCUUUCGCCUGUGACGAAGCGUGAGUGACGGUAAUGGGUAAAGAAGCACCGGCUAACUACGUG
Molecule: ribosomal RNA, 469 nt
Filed under: uncultured bacterium
Lineage: Bacteria
Description: partial 16S ribosomal RNA
Rfam family: Bacterial small subunit ribosomal RNA
Source: RNAcentral